AAAUUUAUUUACCGUUUAGUCAAUUUCACUUUCACUUUCCCUUUGACUAAAUUGAUUCUUGCCUAGCAAGUGGCACAAUUCAUAACAGGAGACAGAACCUGCUCUCAUGAGAAUGAAAAGAAUCUCCUUUACUAAAAAGCCACCAAAGAUUAGAUAGUUUAUGCCAGAAACAGACCACAGUACACUGGACUGGAAGAUUCAACAUCCAGUAAAAAGAGGAAAGUGGCAUUGAUUCAGUUUCAAUACACACUCCUGCUUUUUCCUUACAAGGGAUCUAUGUACUAAAAGAGUUGGUCUGUGUGCUCAAAAGAAAAGACAACGAUUGUGAUCAAGCUUUUUUCAGUCCUAUUUCUGAUGUUGAUAAGAAAGGGUGUAAUAAAGUAACAACAGAGAAGGUUUUAUAGCAAGCAGGUGCUGAAAGAACUUCAAAAGGUUAAUACUACAACUUUCUGGUGAUGUUGAAAGAAAUCCAGAACCUACAAUGGUUUAUCAAGACUUCUCAGUGCUUGCCAAACAAGUGUCAAAGAGUGAAUGGCAAGAAUGGCUUUAAAGAACGGAGAAGACGUGUUUUAUUGCACUUAGUUUUAAGCUUCUGUUUGAUAUUUUACCACUACGAUAGAGUUAUGUAAAUUUAUGUUAUGUAUUGUUCUAAUGUAUCAAUCUGUUUUGUAAUUACACUUUUUUAAAUAUGUUGUUAUUGUUUUUAUACCUUUUCCUACUAUUAAAGGUUUUUAUUAAGCCUUAGGUUACUUUGGUUUUUUAUUUCAUAGGAUUAAGAUGUCAUUCUUGAAAACCUUGUUAGUAUGAACUGUGUUUUUUUAUAUCUUAAUAUGUGUAGUAUUAAUCCAACCCGAUUAUAUUUAGUUAUGAAAAAAUAUAUACCAUAAGGACUGUCCAC
This is a long non-coding RNA of Mytilus trossulus (common blue mussel), 898 nucleotides long. RefSeq lists it as uncharacterized. NCBI's taxonomy places the organism in Eukaryota, Metazoa, Mollusca, Bivalvia, Mytilida, Mytilidae. The record is from RefSeq and is a predicted model, not a curated record. The transcript is spliced from 5 exons.